CUCUUUGAGGCCGGUUAUCGGAAUGGGUACAAUUUAAACCCGUUAACGAGGAUCUAUGAGAGGGCAAGUCUGGUGCCAGCAGCCGCGGUAAUUCCAGCUCUCAAAGUGUAUAUCGUCAUUGCUGCGGUUAAAAAGCUCGUAGUUGGAUCUGCGCCUCAGGACUUGGUCCGCCCACUGGGCGAGAACUAGGCUCCUGGGCUAGUUCUGCUGGUUUUCUCUACGUUGCCUUCAUCGGUCGCGUAGGGUGGCUAGCGAGUUUACUUUGAAAAAAUUAGAGUGCUUCACGCGAGCUUAUGUCUGAAUACUCGUGCAUGGAAUAAUAGAAUAGGAUCUCGGUUCUAUUUUGUUGGUUUUCUGAUCUGAGAUAAUGGUUAAGAGGGACGGACGGGGGCAUUCGUAUCGCUGCGUGAGAGGUGAAAUUCUUGGACCGUAGCGAGACGCCCGACUGCGAAAGCAUUUGCCAAGAAUGUCUUCAUUAAUCAAGAACGAAAGU
RNAcentral lists this ribosomal RNA (493 nucleotides) under Contracaecum aff. rudolphii E JB-2021. Its description in RNAcentral is "SSU rRNA". It matches the Rfam family "Eukaryotic small subunit ribosomal RNA", at positions 491 to 990 of the family's 1831-position model. Lineage: Eukaryota; Metazoa; Nematoda; Chromadorea; Rhabditida; Anisakidae. The record is from RNAcentral.